ACUCCUACGGGAGGCAGCAGUGGGAAGUAUUGGACAAUGGGCGAAAGCCUGAUCCAGCCAUGCCGCGUGUGUGAAGAAGGUCUUCGGAUUGUAAAGCACUUUAAGUUGGGAGGAAGGGCAGUAAGUUAAUACCUUGCUGUUUUGACGUUACCGACAGAAUAAGCACCGGCUAACUCUGUGCCAGCAGCCGCGGUAAUACAGAGGGUGCAAGCGUUAAUCGGAAUUACUGGGCGUAAAGCGCGCGUAGGUGGUUUGUUAAGUUGGAUGUGAAAGCCCCCGGGCUCAACCUGGGAACUGCAUCCAAAACUGGCAAGCUAGAGUACGGUAGAGGGUGGUGGAAUUUCCUGUGUAGCGGUGAAAUGCGUAGAUAUAGGAAGGAACACCAGUGGCGAAGGCGACCACCUGGACUGAUACUGACACUGAGGUGCGAAAGCGUGGGAGCAAACAGGAUUAGAUACCCCUGGUAGGAUAGCG
RNAcentral lists this ribosomal RNA (474 nucleotides) under uncultured bacterium. RNAcentral's name for it is "bacterial SSU rRNA". It matches the Rfam family "Bacterial small subunit ribosomal RNA", at positions 335 to 799 of the family's 1533-position model. The record is from RNAcentral.